This 449-nucleotide ribosomal RNA is filed under the name uncultured bacterium. Its description in RNAcentral is "partial 16S ribosomal RNA". It matches the Rfam family "Bacterial small subunit ribosomal RNA", at positions 29 to 523 of the family's 1533-position model. The record is from RNAcentral.
AACGAACGCUGGCGGCGGGCCUAACACAUGCAAGUCGAACGCUGUAGCAAUACAGAGUGGCAGACGGGUGAGUAACACGUGGGAAUCUUCCUAUCGGUACGGAAUAGCUCAGGGAAACUUGGGGUAAUACCGCAUACGCCCUUCGGGGGAAAGAUUUAUCGCCGAUAGAUGAGCCCGCGUCUGAUUAGCUAGUUGGUGAGGUAAUGGCUCACCAAGGCGACGAUCAGUAGCUGGUCUGAGAGGAUGACCAGCCACACUGGGACUGAGACACGGCCCCGACUCCUACGGGAGGCAGCAGUGGGGAAUCUUGGACAAUGGGCGCAAGCCUGAUCCAGCCAUGCCGCGUGGGUUCCCAAGGUCUUCGGCUUGUCCCCCUCUUUUUGCGGGGACGAUAAUGACGGUACCCGCAGACUUAGCCCCGGCUAACUUCGUGCCAGCAGCCGCCGUAA